AAUCCGCGUCAGCUUCAUGGUGACCUGCCGGCGUUCCGCCGUCCGGGUUGAAACGGGAAGCCGGUGACGCGCGUAUGCGCCAGCCCGGCACUGCCCCCGCAACGGUAAGCGUGUUCAAGGCAUCGCAUCCGCCACUGUGCUCCGGUAUGGGAAGGCGCGACGCCCGGGAGAACUCCCACGCGCGAGUCCGGAGACCGGCCACGAAGUCUUCCUCGAUU
RNAcentral lists this non-coding RNA (218 nucleotides) under Luteimonas sp. 9C. The record is from RNAcentral. Lineage: Bacteria; Pseudomonadati; Pseudomonadota; Gammaproteobacteria; Lysobacterales; Lysobacteraceae.